RNAcentral lists this ribosomal RNA (446 nucleotides) under uncultured bacterium. RNAcentral describes it as "partial 16S ribosomal RNA". It matches the Rfam family "Bacterial small subunit ribosomal RNA", at positions 338 to 795 of the family's 1533-position model. The record is from RNAcentral.
CCUACGGGAGGCAGCAGUCGAGAAUCAUUCACAAUGGGGGAAACCCUGAUGGUGCGACGCCGCGUGGGGGAAUGAAGGUCUUCGGAUUGUAAACCCCUGUCAUGUGGGAGCAAACUAAAAAGAUAGUACCACAAGAGGAAAAGACGGCUAACUCUGUGCCAGCAGCCGCGGUAAUACAGAGGUCUCAAGCGUUGUUCGGAAUCACUGGUCGUAAAGCGUGCGUAGGCUGUUUCGUAAGUCGUGUGUGAAAGGCGGGGGCUCAACCCGCGGACGGCACAUGAUACUGCGAGACUAGAGUAAUGGAGGGGGAACCGGAAUGCUCGGUGUAGCAGUGAAAUGCGUAGAUAUCGAGAGGAACACUCGUGGCGAAGGCGGGUUCCUGGACAUUAACUGACGCUGAGGCACGAAGGCCAGAGGAGCGAAAGGGAUUAGAUACCCCAGUAGUC